UUUUUGAGGUCAAACGGAUUGAUUGUGAAGACUAAAGGGGUGGUUUGAAAAGAAAGACGAAAUAGGAUGGUUUAGGGUGGUGUCUGGGUGGUCUACGAGGGUUGUAUCUUCUUCGAAAUGAAGAAGAUGAAGCAGAGAACAGGCGUUGCUCACUGCUGGUCGACGAAGGACGGGAGGGUCUCUAUUUCUGGUGGAAACAAGAGGAGAUCAGCGAACGGUAGGGUCGUUUGGUCGAGCUGGAACUGGACGACGUUGUUGGGCUCGAUGUGACGACGUGUUGGUUGUGAGAUUGGGCAGCUUGAGGUCGUUCAUGGCUGUGACGACAAUGAGGGCAGUAACGACUAUUGCGUCGUUGAUUCAGGGAAGACGAUGGUGGUGUUGCUGGUUGUCUAUGGUGAGGGACGAUGGGGAAGGGGGAGGCAGCGGCUGGGCUAGGGUUCCGCUAGGCUUAGGG
This 454-nucleotide long non-coding RNA is filed under the name Nicotiana benthamiana. Its description in RNAcentral is "long non-coding RNA (NBEN_LNC015377)". The record is from RNAcentral. Lineage: Eukaryota; Viridiplantae; Streptophyta; Magnoliopsida; Solanales; Solanaceae.